UACGUAGGGGGCAAGCGUUGUCCGGAUUUAUUGGGCGUAAAGAGCGUGUAGGCGGCCGAGCAGGUCCGUUGUGAAAACUGGAGGCUCAACCUCCAGCUGUCGACGGAAACCGCACGGCUAGAGUCCGGAAGAGGAGAGUGGAAUUCCUGGUGUAGCGGUGAAAUGCGCAGAUAUCAGGAAGAACACCCGUGGCGAAGGCGGCUCUCUGGGACGGUACUGACGCUGAGACGCGAAAGCGUGGGGAGCGAACAGG
Molecule: ribosomal RNA, 253 nt
Filed under: uncultured bacterium
Lineage: Bacteria
Description: partial 16S ribosomal RNA
Rfam family: Bacterial small subunit ribosomal RNA
Source: RNAcentral